Molecule: ribosomal RNA, 481 nt
Filed under: uncultured bacterium
Lineage: Bacteria
Description: partial 16S ribosomal RNA
Rfam family: Bacterial small subunit ribosomal RNA
Source: RNAcentral
GACGAACGUUGGCGGCGUGCUUAAUACAUGCAAGUCAACUGAAGCAGUGGUAGCAAUAUCGCUGUGGAGGUGGCGCACGGGUGAGUAACACGUAGGUAAUCUGCCUUCAGGUCUGGCAUAACUCCGGGAAACCGGGGCUAAUAGCAGAUGAUGCAGCGGCUCGACAUCGAGACAGUUGUUAAAGCUAUGGCGCCUGAAGAUGAGCCUGCGUCUGAUUAGCUAGUUGGCGGGGUAACGGCCCACCAAGGCAACGAUCAGUAGCUGGUCUGAGAGGAUGAUCAGCCACACUGGAACGGAGCCAAGGUCCAGACUACUCCGGGAGGCAGAAGUAAGGAAUAUUGCUCAAUGGGAGAAAUAGCGAAGCAGCAACGCUGCGUGAGGGACGAAGGGCUUUUACUUGUAAACCUCUGUAGUGAGAGAAAAAAAUCCCAAUCUGUGGGACAUGAUGGUAUCUAAAAAGUAAGCCACGGCUAACUACGUG